CGCCCAGGGCGCACCACCGGCCCGCCGGCUCGGAUGCUGCGAGGGAGUUCAGCGCCCCCCGGGGACGGUCCAGUGUCUGGUCCGGGACUGGCUGCCGGACGGCUGGGCCGGAUCUGCUCGGCCGCAGCGGGGCGCUCUGGGGAGGUCAGGCCCGCGCCGAGCUGCCUCCCGCUGCCUAAGCGCAGGCCCUGCGCCGCCUUUGCUCCCUCUUCCCCAGCUCAGCCCGGCCAGCCUGAGACGCGGCGUGGCAGCUUCCAAAAAGUGCUCUCUACCAUCCUCUGACUCCCCUCUUCCUUCUUGCCCUGGAUUUCUCCCGCCUCCUAAUUUCUCUCUCCUCUGCUUUCCCGGCCUCUCGCCCCACCCGGAGUCCUUAAAACAGCCCAGCUCCCUGCAGGGAGGUGGGCAGGACCCCAGAGGGGAAGGGGAGGGAGGCACAAGUUGGGCGGGUCGAGGGGACACGGCGGGAGAGAAUUCGAAAAAGUUGUAACAUCUGCC
Molecule: long non-coding RNA, 495 nt
Filed under: Homo sapiens (human)
Lineage: Eukaryota; Metazoa; Chordata; Mammalia; Primates; Hominidae
Description: HSALNT0330221
Source: RNAcentral